Molecule: ribosomal RNA, 253 nt
Filed under: uncultured bacterium
Lineage: Bacteria
Description: partial 16S ribosomal RNA
Rfam family: Bacterial small subunit ribosomal RNA
Source: RNAcentral
UACGGGGGGGGCAAGCGUUGUUCGGAAUUACUGGGCGUAAAGGGCUCGUAGGCGGCCAACUAAGUCAGACGUGAAAUCCCUCGGCUUAACCGGGGAACUGCGUCUGAUACUGGAUGGCUUGAAUCCGGGAGAGGGAUGCGGAAUUCCAGGUGUAGCGGUGAAAUGCGUAGAUAUCUGGAGGAACACCGGUGGCGAAGGCGGCACCCUGGGCCGGCAUUGACGCUGAGGAGCGAAAGCCAGGGGAGCAAACGGG